UGAAAGAUGUAAGUGUGCAUUCGUGAAAUACGUUGAAAAUGUGAGGAUAAUUCUAAAGUUAUGCCCUGAAUGAACGUUUGGAUAGUGUAACUUUUGCAGGAAAUCAUUUUACGGUCAUUAGGAUUUUUUAUUUUCAGCUUCGGAAGAUAUACAAAUUAUUUUAAGGUGAAUUGAUUGUUCAUCGUUUAUAAGUAUUUUAAGCAUAACCUACGGCACUAGUACGCAGACACAGAUGCAGAGAAAACGAUGUUUCAAAGAACCUUCCAUUUAUUAUGCAUACUCUAUGAUUUUACCAUUGGUUAAGGUUGAAUGCGUUACAAAUCUGUGAUUUCUAAGAAAUGGCUUAAGUUUUCUGAAAGUUUUAGUAAAAUAUGCAAAGAAAGUCGUUUUUUUCAAAUGAAAUGGUUUAAAAAAGCUCGAUCCAGCGUUCUUCUGCUGCGUUACUCUCUGCUGGAGUGUCUCUGAACCGUCCGUUCCAAAGUCCCUGUCUGGACCUCUGCUCACUCUCAAGCACCGUUCGUGGAUCACCAAACUCCCGAAAAAAAUCUACUACUUUAUAAAUUUUUUUGAGUUUUUGUAUUUAGAAAUUAUCAAUUACAUUGUGGGCUCUUUUUCA
Tribolium castaneum (red flour beetle) is the source of this 616-nucleotide long non-coding RNA. RefSeq lists it as uncharacterized. The record is from RefSeq and is a predicted model, not a curated record. The transcript has 2 exons. Lineage: Eukaryota; Metazoa; Arthropoda; Insecta; Coleoptera; Tenebrionidae.